GGGGAAAAAAGCAGCCGUGACCCUCUGCUAAAUGGCACCCGUAUGAGAGUACUGCAUCGACAGGUGAUACCAUUGGCAGCAUUGCACCUUGCUCAGUGAACAGCCAAGGCUAAGCCCAUAAAGCCUUUGCUCUGGCGUUAUCUUUGAAGUACGUUGGGAAAUUAAUUCUGCUCUUAAGGGAACAUGACAGAUUGGAGAAGGCUUCCACACUCCUCAGACAGAAGCAAGCCCACCAAGGCAGGAGCCAGGUCAGAGCAGUCUUUCUGUCUAUGAGAAAUCACUGUUGAUCAGUUCAAAGCAGCGUUGAGUUGUGAUGGUUUGGGCUGUGGGUUGGGUAGGAACCAAAUGUGUUUGCUGCCUGUCUGGAUUAUCUGACCUUCAUCUCUCCUGGCAGAGACAGGAUAAGACCUGCAGGUGUCCUGGUGAGAGCAGCUUUGGCGGGGGGAGAGUGCCUCUCCCAGAACCGCAG
RNAcentral lists this long non-coding RNA (469 nucleotides) under Gallus gallus (chicken). Its description in RNAcentral is "lncRNA (ENSGALG00010022906.1)". Lineage: Eukaryota; Metazoa; Chordata; Aves; Galliformes; Phasianidae. The record is from RNAcentral.